Molecule: long non-coding RNA, 917 nt
Organism: Panicum virgatum (switchgrass)
Lineage: Eukaryota; Viridiplantae; Streptophyta; Magnoliopsida; Poales; Poaceae
Exons: 2
Source: RefSeq, a predicted model, not a curated record
UUACUGACAGUUUCCGAAACAGAAGCGAGACAUCGGCGACGUGAGGGGUAAAAAGGGCCGGGGAGGACGAGGGCGGCGGCGCAGUACUCACCGUGGGCUCGUCUCGGGCGGAGAAAGGCUGUAGGAGGUUCGCCGGCACGCGGCUCGGAGCUCUAGCGGACUUCAAUGGCGACCGGCCGGAAAAUUUGCCAGAAUAGGUGAGGAUUGGCGGGGAAGGUAAAGGAGGAGAUGGGGAAGGCUCUCAUGGAGGGAAUCGGAGAGGGAGGGGGUGUGUCUCGUGCAUUGCGGCCGGCGGCAGAGGGAGCUCUGCUCGGCCCGAGCUGGGAGAAGAGAUAAAGGAGGAGGGGGAGGGGAAUGGCCCGCUCGCCGCGUCCUAACCGCUGUCGGGCCAUUGGUCCGGCGCAUCCUCGCCGCGUGGCUGCUGUCGGAGCGGGAGGCACCUGCUCGCUCCUCGCCCUGCUGCACACCUGUGUGAGCUCGGGCGCGAGCGGUACAUCGCGUGCCAAUCGGCCUCCCGCGGCCCAGCACUCUCGCCCCCGCCGCCGAGCGCGCCCUGCCGACCGCCGUCGUCCGCUGAUCCUUGCACUUGCUUUCGCCUGCACUAAUCCAAUCGGAUCCAUGCCAAUUGCUGCACCUGCAACUGCACUGCCUCCAAUCGGAUCGGCUCCCUCCCCCUCAGGAAAUUUAGCCAUGGAAAAUCACUGGCAAGAUCAAAAAGACAUUAUUGUCGUCAGAAAAAGAUCAAAAAGGCAUUCCAGUAUCCGCUACUUUUUACCAGCUUAAACUCCUUGUACAAAUAUCACUAUUUCUCUGUCAUGCUUAAGUUGUUCUCAUUAUUCUGUAUAUAAUGGAGACAAGCUCAAUGGUUACCUCCAAUCAUCUGAAUACAUAGUCUGAAUGCGGUGUUCACAUGAAAA